Molecule: ribosomal RNA, 1455 nt
Filed under: uncultured fungus
Lineage: Eukaryota; Fungi
Description: eukaryotic LSU rRNA
Rfam family: Eukaryotic large subunit ribosomal RNA (bases 688-1455)
Source: RNAcentral
GUUUUACACCACUCACCAACCACGUGAACUAUUUAACUUGAAAGGGAGAUGAUAUGUAGCAAUACAUCCCUCUCUCUUCUUUCGAAACACCCCUUUCACCCCUUCUAUAACUAUUGACUGAUCUUUUCUUUGUUGCUCAGCAAUGAGUAUAAUAAGAAAAACCUAAUCAAAUAUCUAAGCACAACUCUUAGCAACGGAUAUCUUGGUUCUCGCAACGAUGAAGAACGCAGCGAAAUGCGAUAUGUAAUGCGAAUUGCAGAAUUCAGUGAAUCAUCAAAUCUUUGAACGCAAAUGGCGGUCUCGGGUUAGUCCUGAGACCACGCCUCUCUCAGUAUCGGUUCAACCUCACCUCGAAUGCGUAUGAUACAUGUGCAAACAUGUGUCAUGCAACCUUCGGAUAAUGAGAGUAAUAUAGCUUUUAAGUAAGCGAGUAUUUCUCCUUAAAUACGUUGAGCUCGGAACAACUAGUAACCCUUAGACGCAAGUCUAAUAGCCUGUUGUGCUAUUUCUCCUUACUAGUGAACGUGGAUAAUUUCAUAUCUUGGCGCAAGCUUUGGUGUGAAUUGAAACGUCUCACACAUGUUUGAAGAAAAUUAUAUAGUGCUUCAGUGUGAACCUUACCUGUCUGUUCUCAUAGCGAUAUUAGAAUUAAUCCAGUAUAAACACUCGUGUUUACACUUUCGAAUUAGAUCUGAGAUGAAGCGAGGAGACCCCCUGAAUUUAAGCAUAUUAUUAAGGGGAGGAAAAGGAACUAACAAGGAUUCCCCCAGUAACGGCGAGUGAAGCGGGAUGAGCUCAAGUUGAUAAUCGGUGAUCCAUGCGGGUCGUUCCGAAUUGUACCCUAGAGACGUGUGAUCAGCGUGUGACCCAGGUCCAAGUCCUUUGGAAGAAGGCAUCAGAGAGGGUGAGAAUCCCGUCCCGAACCUGGAGUUCGCCGCGUACGAUGCAUGUUCACAGAGUCGAGUUGUUUGGGAUUGCAGCUCUAAAACGGUGGUAAGGUUCAUCGAAAGCUAAAUACAGGCGAGAGACCGAUAGCGAACAAGUACCGUGAGGGAAAGAUGAAAAGAACUUUGAAAAGAGAGUUAAAAAGUACUUGAAAUUGCUAAGAGGGAAGCGCUAAAAACCAGUGUGACUGCUCUCAUUCUGCCUAUCCAUCUCUCUGUUUGGCGAUGGUACCUAGUUGGCAACUCUAGGUGCUGUUGUUUAGAUGGAGAGUGGGUGGGUCCUGUGGGAGUAGCGCGUCAGGAUCAGUUCAGACGUGCAGGAGAGGAUGUGGAUAGAAGGUAGGGAUGGCAACAUCCUGUUAUAUCUGUCUCAUUCGACUGUGCUCCGGACUGAGGAAAUAGUAAUGGUGCGCCACUAGGCUUGUACCUCUGUUGCUCUGUAGCACGAAUGGUUUGGAUGACAAUGUCAUGCGGUCGUUCGUGUUGCAUACGCAGUGGAACGUGUCGAUGC